Poecilia latipinna (sailfin molly) is the source of this 405-nucleotide long non-coding RNA. RefSeq lists it as uncharacterized. NCBI's taxonomy places the organism in Eukaryota, Metazoa, Chordata, Actinopteri, Cyprinodontiformes, Poeciliidae. The record is from RefSeq and is a predicted model, not a curated record. The transcript has 3 exons.
UUGUUAAAACAUGAUGCGUAUCUUGUAUAAACGUGAUAGUAAGACGUGAUAUGUAUCUUGUAUAAACGUGAUAGUUAUCUUGUUAAAACAUGAUGCGUAUCUUGUAUAAAUGUGAUGCGUAUCUUGUAUAAACGUAAUAGUAUCUUGUUAAGACGUGAUAUGUAUCUUGUAUAAACGUGAUACUAUCUUGUUAAAACGUGAUAUUAUCUUGUUAAAACAUGAUGCAUAUCUUGUAUAAACGUGAUGCUAUCUUGUUAAGACGUGAUAUGUAUCUUGUAUAAACGUGAUAGUUAUCUUGUAUAAACGUAAUAGUAUCUUGUAUAAACGUGAUACUAUCUUGUUAAAACGUGAUGCGUAUCUUGUAUAAACGUGAUAGUAUCUUGUAUAAACGUAAUAGUAUCUUGU